Molecule: transfer RNA, 74 nt
Organism: Toxocara canis (dog roundworm)
Lineage: Eukaryota; Metazoa; Nematoda; Chromadorea; Rhabditida; Toxocaridae
Rfam family: tRNA
About the family: Transfer RNA (tRNA) molecules are approximately 80 nucleotides in length. Their secondary structure includes four short double-helical elements and three loops (D, anti-codon, and T loops). Further hydrogen bonds mediate the characteristic L-shaped molecular structure. tRNAs have two regions of fundamental functional importance: the anti-codon, which is responsible for specific mRNA codon recognition, and the 3' end, to which the tRNAs corresponding amino acid is attached (by aminoacyl-tRNA synthetases). tRNAs cope with the degeneracy of the genetic code in two manners: having more than one tRNA (with a specific anti-codon) for a particular amino acid; and 'wobble' base-pairing, i.e. permitting non-standard base-pairing at the 3rd anti-codon position.
Source: Rfam
GCCGCCAUAGCUCAGUCGGUGAGAGCGUGGGUCUAAUAAGCCCAAGGACGCAGGUGCGACCCCUGCUGGCAGCA